ACUUGAUCCAAAACGCAUGAUUCAAUGAACAUGAGAUUUUGUUGGUUCCCACCAAUGGCAUUUCAAAAACUAUUGUCGUGAGUAUUGACUUACCUGUGAACUGUGUUGACAUACAUUGAUGGUUCUCAAAGGGCCCAACUCACCGUGCACGUCCUUCCUGGAGUCCUUUCAAUUUUGGGGAGCGCUCUUUUGUAUUUCAUCAUAUGCAAACAUCAUGAAAAUCUGAUAAUAUGAUAUUUGUGUGUCUGGGGCCUGAGGGUGUGUGUGUCUGAAUUUCACUGAGCAAGAAAUGGAUUGAUUUCAAAUGUGCUAUUAUAUUCUACAAUUCGGAACACGGGAACAUUGUUAAUGUCUUACCCGACAACCUGCGGUUAUACUACUAGCACUUAUCGGAAAUUGAAAACACAGGUAGAGGACUUCUCUGCCAACAGACUUUGCUGAUAUUUCAACCAUGGUCGGGUACCAUCAGAGCCUCAAAUAUGAAUAAACGGAUUUUUAAAACAUUUCUUCUCUUCAUCUUACUGAAUGCGCUUCCCAAUGUAAUUAGCGGAGGUUGGUUCUGCAACAACCCCUCACCACCGGUUUGCGCCGAUGACUGCGAUGGGAAUGGAUACUAUAUCAGUCAAGAUGGAACUGCGUGCAUUCAAUGUCCACAAUGUUCGGCUGGACAGGAACUUAACAAGGAUUGUGGAAAUGGUUUGAACGGAGAUGCAGUAUGCAUACCUUGUCCAGAAGGAUUCUUUUCAUUAUCCACGUCACAGCGUUGCACUCAAUGCACCACAUGCACCAAUACCGUUGAGC
This is a long non-coding RNA of Strongylocentrotus purpuratus (purple sea urchin), 801 nucleotides long. RefSeq lists it as uncharacterized. The record is from RefSeq and is a predicted model, not a curated record. Lineage: Eukaryota; Metazoa; Echinodermata; Echinoidea; Camarodonta; Strongylocentrotidae. The transcript is spliced from 4 exons.